UACAGAGGUCCCAAGCGUUGUUCGGAUUCAUUGGGCGUAAAGGGUGCGUAGGCGGCGCGGUAAGUCGGGUGUGAAAUCUCGGAGCUUAACUCCGAAACUGCAUUCGAUACUGCCGUGCUUGAGGACUGGAGAGGAGACUGGAAUUUACGGUGUAGCGGUGAAAUGCGCAGAUAUCCGAAGGAACACCGGUGGCGAAGGCGGCUUCCUGGACCGACACUGACGCUGAGGCGCGAAAGCUAGGGGAGCAAACGGG
Molecule: ribosomal RNA, 253 nt
Filed under: uncultured bacterium
Lineage: Bacteria
Description: partial 16S ribosomal RNA
Rfam family: Bacterial small subunit ribosomal RNA
Source: RNAcentral